AGUGUCUUUUUUAGCUCACCUGGCCCGAAGGGCCAAGUGAGCUUUUCUCAUCACUUGGCGUCCGGCGUCCGUCGUCGUCUGUCGUCGUCCGUCGUCGUCCGUCGUCCUGCGUCCGUCGUCGUUAACUUUUACAAAAAUCUUCUCCUCUGAAACUGCUGGGCCAAAUUUAACCAAACAUGGCCAAAAUCAUUAUUAGGGUAUCUAGUUUAAAAAUUGUGUCCGGUGACCCGCCCAACCAACCAAGAUGGCCGCCAUGGCUAAAAAUAGAACAUAGGGUUAAAAUGCAGUUUUUGGCUUAUAACUCAAAAAUCAAAGCAUUUAGAGCAAAUCUGACAUGGGGUAAAAUUGUUUAUCAGGUCAAGAUCUAUCUGCCCUGAAAUUGUCAGAUGAAUCGGACAACCCGUUGUUGGGUUGCUGCCCCUGAAUUGGUAAUUUUGAGAAAAUUUUGAUGUUUUUGGUUAUUAUCUUGAAUAUUAUUAUAGAUAGAGAUAAACUGUAAACAACAAAAAUGUUCAGCUAAGUAAGAUCUACAAAUAAGUCAACAUGACCAAAAUGGUCUGUUGACCCCUUUAGAAGUUAUUGCCCUUUAUAGUCAAUUUUUAACCAUUUUUCGUAAAUCUUAAUUAUCUUUUACAAAAAUCUUCUCCUCUGAAACUACUGGACCAAAUUAAACCAAACUUGGCCACAAUAAUCAUUCGGGUACACAGUUUACAAAUUGUGUCCGGUGAUCCGGCCAACCAACCAAGAUGGCCGCCAUGGCUAAAAAUAGAACAUAGGGGUAAAAUGCAGUUUUUGGCUUAUCACUCAAAAACCGAAGCAUUUAGAGCAAAUCUGACUGUAGUAAAAUUGUUUAUCAGGUCAAGAUCUAUCUGCCCUGAAAUUGUCAGAUGAAUCGGACAACUCUUUGAUAGGUUGCUGCCCCUGAAUUGGUAAUUUUAAGGAAAUUUUGCUGUUUUUGGUUAUUAUCUUGAAUAUUAUUAUAGAUAGAGAUAAACUGUAAACAGCAAAAAUGUUCAGCUAAGUAAGAUCUACAAAUAAGUCAACAUGACCAAAAUGGUCUGUUGACCCCUUUAGGAGUUAUUGCCCUUUAAAGUCAAUUUUUAACCAUUUUUCGUAAAUCUUAGUUAUCUUUUACAAAAAUCUUCUCCUCUGAAACUACUGGAUUAAAUUAAACCAAACUUGGCCACAAUCAUCAUUGGGGUAUCUAGUUUAAAAAUUGUGUCCGGUGAUCCAGCCAACCAACCAAGAUGCCGCCAUGGCUAAAAAUAGAAGAUAGGGGUAAAAAUGCAGUUUUUGGCUUAUCACUCAAAAACCAAAGCAUUUAGAGCAAAUCUGACAUGUGGUAAAAUUGUUUAUCAGGUCAAGAUCUAUCUGCAACAACAAAAGAAAGAGAGUUUUUCACGACCUCAGCUGGCUAUACAACCCUUGCACAAUCAACUGAAUUUUGCAGAAAUCAUUAAUAGGAUAGAUUGCCCUUAUAUGAUAAUUUUUUAUUACCUUUUUGGGUUUUUUGGGGGGGGGGGUUACGCAGCAACAAAACUACUUCACAACUUUCUCAUUACUUUGCAUUUCUUGUUAGAUAAAUUUUACAAAAAUUCUCCCCUGAAACAACUGUCGAAUUUAAACAAACUUGGUUUAAAUCACCACUAGGAUAUCCAGGGACCACUGUGUAUGAUGACCUUGCCUGCCCACAUGGCUGAAAUAAAACAUAGGUUUCAAAUGCACUUUUUAGUAUUAUAUCUCUGAAACUAAACGACAGUACAACAGUUGCAUUUAUCAUGCAACAAUUGUAAAUAAAAAUAUCAGGUGAGCGACACAGGGUCCUUGGACCCUCUAGUUUUUAUUAUUAAAGUAUGAA
RNAcentral lists this long non-coding RNA (1858 nucleotides) under Mytilus galloprovincialis (Mediterranean mussel). Lineage: Eukaryota; Metazoa; Mollusca; Bivalvia; Mytilida; Mytilidae. The record is from RNAcentral.